GUGGAAUCACCUAUAAAAGAUGGAGUUGUUGUUGAUUGGGAUAUUGUUGACAAUAUAUGGAAUCAUGCUUUUAGGGAGCAGUUAUUAAUUGAUCCCAAAGAACAUCCAAUGCUGCUUGCAGAGCCAUCUUGUAAUACUCCACAACAAAGAGAAAGGGCAGCAGAGCUCAUGUUUGAGGAUUACGAAGUUCCAGCUUUAUUUUUAGCAACAAAUGCUUGGGCGCGGAUCCACAACUGUUGCUGCUGUACAUGAUGGUUAUGUUCUUCAAAAGGUCUUCCACUGCUGCCUGCGACAAAGUAGCUCAAAUACUUGUCAUGAUGUGCGCAAUUCAACCACGUCUCAGCCAUCUCUGAAGCUUGAUAGCUAACAACUCAGGAGGCUUGAGAAAGAGUUGAUGGAGGAGGCUCCUCAAGCUGCAUGCAUUAAGCGUUUGGGUAGGAGGAAGUAUUCUGGCAUCUCUUCGGUCAUUUCAGCAAAUGUGGUUCUCCAAAUCAGAUUAUGAAGAGCAUGGGAUUUCAUAUAUUCAGAGCAAGUGCCCUUAAGAGGACCAUUAUUUUUUCUUGAACGUAGGAGAAGUAUGCAAUUUUCUUCUGCUGCAACAGUUAAACAGUUUAUAGCAACACGUUUUGUCUCCUUCUGAAUCUGUUGUCGCUAAAAAGUACUUUGCCUUUGGGGUCUUGAAUAUGCGACAUAUAUUCGCUAUAUCCUUCUAGCAUGAACCUUGUCAA
Elaeis guineensis (African oil palm) is the source of this 728-nucleotide non-coding RNA. NCBI's taxonomy places the organism in Eukaryota, Viridiplantae, Streptophyta, Magnoliopsida, Arecales, Arecaceae. The record is from RefSeq and is a predicted model, not a curated record.